AAAUGAAUUGACGGGGGCCCGCACAAGCGGUGGAGCAUGUGGUUUAAUUCGACGCAACGCGAAGAACCUUACCGGGGCUUGACAUCUUUCUGACCGCCUGGGAAACCAGGUCUUCUUCCUUCGGGAAGACAGAAAGACAGGUGGUGCAUGGUUGUCGUCAGCUCGUGUCGUGAGAUGUUGGGUUAAGUCCCACAACGAGCGCAACCCUUGUCCUUAUUUGCCAGCCUGUUUACAGGUGCACUUUAAGGAGACUGCCGUAGAUAAUACGGAGGAAGGUGGGGAUGACGUCAAAUCCUCAUGCCCCUUACGUCCCGGGCUACACACGUGCUACAAUGGUCUGUACAAAGGGUGACCAAGGAGCGAUCCGGAGUCAAUCCCAAAAAGCAGGCCCCAGUUCGGAUUGGAGGCUGCAACUCGCCUCCAUGAAGUCGGAAUCGCUAGUAAUCGCGGAUCAGCAUGCCGCGGUGAAUCCGUUCCCGGGCCUUGUACACACCGCCCGU
RNAcentral lists this ribosomal RNA (500 nucleotides) under uncultured bacterium. RNAcentral's name for it is "bacterial SSU rRNA". It matches the Rfam family "Bacterial small subunit ribosomal RNA", at positions 903 to 1397 of the family's 1533-position model. The record is from RNAcentral.